CCUACGGGGGGUAGCAGUGGGGAAUAUUGGGCAAUGGGCGCAAGCCUGACCCAGCAACGCCGCGUGAAGGAAGAAGGCUUUCGGGUUGUAAACUUCUUUUAAGGGGGACGAACAAAUGACGGUACCCCUUGAAUAAGCCACGGCUAACUACGUGCCAGCAGCCGCGGUAAUACGUAGGUGGCAAGCGUUAUCCGGAUUUAUUGGGUGUAAAGGGCGUGUAGGCGGGAGCGCAAGUCAGAUGUGAAAACUCAGGGCUCAACCCUGAGCCUGCAUUUGAAACUGGCAAACUGGAGUGUGUGAGAGGAUAGUGGAAUUCCAGGUGUAGGAGUGAAAUCCGUAGAUAUCUGGAGGAACAUCAGUGGCGAAGGCGACUAUCUGGCACAUAACUGACGCUGAGGAGCGAAAGCGUGGGUAGCAAACAGGAUUAGAUACCCGUGUAGUC
This 442-nucleotide ribosomal RNA is filed under the name uncultured bacterium. RNAcentral describes it as "partial 16S ribosomal RNA". It matches the Rfam family "Bacterial small subunit ribosomal RNA", at positions 338 to 795 of the family's 1533-position model. The record is from RNAcentral.